UACAGAGGUCUCAAGCGUUGUUCGGAUUCAUUGGGCGUAAAGGGUGCGUAGGCGGCGCGGUAAGUCGGGUGUGAAAUCUCGGAGCUUAACUCCGAAACUGCAUUCGAUACUGCCGUGCUUGAGGACUGGAGAGGAGACUGGAAUUUACGGUGUAGCGGUGAAAUGCGUAGAUAUCAGGAAGAACACCCGUGGCGAAGGCGGCUCUCUGGGACGUGACUGACGCUGAGACGCGAAAGCGUGGGGAGCGAACAGG
Molecule: ribosomal RNA, 253 nt
Filed under: uncultured bacterium
Lineage: Bacteria
Description: partial 16S ribosomal RNA
Rfam family: Bacterial small subunit ribosomal RNA
Source: RNAcentral